This 1915-nucleotide ribosomal RNA is filed under the name human gut metagenome. RNAcentral describes it as "bacterial LSU rRNA". It matches the Rfam family "Bacterial large subunit ribosomal RNA", at positions 3 to 1973 of the family's 2925-position model. The record is from RNAcentral.
UCAAGUGACUAAGUGUACGAGGCGGAUGCCUUGGCGAUCACAGGCGAUGAAGGACGUAGAAGCUUGCGAAAAGCUGCGGGGAGCCGGCAAACGGGCCUCGAUCCGCAGAUAUCCGAAUGGGGGAACCCACCUGGAAACAGGUAUCGUCCCGCGAGGGACGAGGCGAACGGAGUGAACUGAAACAUCUAAGUAACUCUAGGAAAAGAAAUCAACCGAGAUCUCGAAAGUAGCGGCGAGCGAAAUCGAGCCAGCCGUUUACUAUUAACUUAAUGCAUAGACGAAAGGCGUGGGAAAGCCUGCCACAGAGGGUGAUAGCCCCGUAGUUAAAAUGCAAUGAGCGGAACUAAGGUAAACAAGAAGUAGGGCGGGACACGUGGUAUCCUGUCCGAAGAUGGGGGGACCAUCCUCCAAGGCUAAAUACUCAUGAUCGACCGAUAGCGAACCAGUACUGUGAAGGAAAGGCGAAAAGAACCCCGGGAGGGGAGUGAAAGAGAACCUGAAACCGCAUACAUACAAACAGUAGGAGCCCUACGGGGUGACUGCGUACCUUUUGCAUAAUGGGUCAGCGACUUACGUUUUGCGGCAAGCUUAACCGAGUAGGGGAGGCGCAGCGAAAGCGAGUUCGAACAGAGCGAUAGAGUCGUAAGGCGUAGACCCGAAACCAGAUGAGCUAACCAUGGCCAGGUUGAAGGUGUGGUAACACACACUGGAGGACCGAACCGACCGGUGUUGCAAAACCGGCGGAUGAGCUGUGGUUAGGGGUGAAAGGCUUAACAAAUCUGGAGAUAGCUGGUUCUCCCCGAAAACUAUUGAGGUAGUGCCUCGUGACUGACUCCGGGGGGUAGAGCACUGUUAUGGCUAGGGGGACAUGGCGUCUUACCAAACCAUGGCAAACUCCGAAUACCCGGAAGUUGAAUCACGGGAGACAGAGCACCGGGUGCUAACGUCCGGACUCAAAAGGGAAACAACCCAGACCGCCGUUUAAGGUCCCUAAUAACAGCUAAGUGGAAAACGAAGUGUGAAGGCUAAGACAGUCAGGAAGUUGGCUUAGAAGCAGCCAUCCUUCAAAGAAAGCGUAAUAGCUCACUGAUCGAGUCCUCAUGCGCGGAAGAUGUAUCGGGGCUAAGUUAAUAACCGAAAGCGCGGAUUUCGCAGCAAUGCGAAGUGGUAGGGGAGCGUUCUGUAAGCCUGCGAAGGUGACUUGAGAAGGUUGCUGGAGGUAUCAGAAGUGCGAAUGCUGACAUGAGUAACGAUAAAGCGGGUGAAAAGCCCGCUCGCCGUAAGCCCAAGGUUUCCUGCUCUACGUUCAUCGGAGCAGGGUGAGUCGGCCCCUAAGGCCAGGCUGAGAAGCGUAGCUGAUGGGAAGCAGAUUAAGAUUUCUGCACCGACGUUAAGUGCGAAGGGGGGACGGAGUUUUGAGCAUCAUCCGGGUGUUGGAUGUCCCGGUUUGUGCGUGUAGGAGGCCGGCAGGCAAAUCCGCCGGCGAAUCUCCGAGACAAAGCAUCGAGCUGCAUUUUGCAGUGAAGUGAUGGGAUGAACUUCCAGGAAAAGCCUCUAAGCAAUAGCUUAAUGUCGACCGUACCGUAAACCGACACAGGUGGGCGAGUUGAAUAUACUCAGGCGCUUGAGAGAACUCGGGAGAAGGAACUCGGCAAAUUGACACCGUAACUUCGGGAUAAGGUGUGCCUUUGUAGUGUGAAGAGUGAAACACUCCGAGCAUGAAGAGGUCACAGAGAAUAGGUGGCUGCAACUGUUUACUAAAAACACAGCACUCUGCAAAGACGAAAGUCGACGUAUAGGGUGUGAUGCCUGCCCGGUGCCGGAAGAUUAAGUGAUGGGGUGAGAGCUCCUGAUCGAAGUCCCGGUAAACGGCGGCCGUAACUAUAACGGUCCUAAGGUAGCGAAAUUCCUUGUC